Molecule: ribosomal RNA, 125 nt
Filed under: Oryzias latipes (Japanese medaka)
Lineage: Eukaryota; Metazoa; Chordata; Actinopteri; Beloniformes; Adrianichthyidae
Source: RNAcentral
CUUCAUGACUGCGCCUCCAUGGACAUGCUUGAUCUUCAUCUUGUCUGAUCUGAGAAGCUAAAUACGGUCGGGUCCAGUUAGUCCUUGGAUGGCAGAUUUCUUGGGACCACCAGGUGCUGUAAGUU